Molecule: long non-coding RNA, 831 nt
Organism: Ochotona princeps (American pika)
Lineage: Eukaryota; Metazoa; Chordata; Mammalia; Lagomorpha; Ochotonidae
Exons: 3
Source: RefSeq, a predicted model, not a curated record
GUCUAUUAGUCUCUGUGCUUUUCAGAAAACAAAUAAAAAAUACAAAAACACUCUGGCUUCUAAAAUCCAAAUAUACAGACGUACUAUUCCUGUUCUGUAUUGACUUGGGCUGCCAUAACAAAGUACUAUAGACUCAGUGCCUGGAAAUCAGACACUCGUCUCUGGCUACUGGCGACCUGUACAGUCCAUUUAUCCAUAUCAGCUAUGAUACACACAGCUUCUGCUAUUGGUUCAUCCAACACUGGAUGCUGGGAAAAAGAAAGAACAACACAUCUAAAAAUGAACAAGUAAAGUUUCCAAAGAUAAGAUUCCUGGAACUCUACUUGCUUUUUUAAAGCACAGGUACAAAGAUGCUCAAAUGCUUCACAUAUGAAGUAACAAAUCCAGAGAACAGUAACUGUGCUACACAGUGAAGUUUGACCAAGAACAUAUGGCAAUUCUGGGUUCUUCUCAUUAAGAGUGUUCUAAGUAAACUGCAGAACAGAGAUGGCUAUUACCUGCACAGCAUGAGACAAGUCUGACAACAGACAUUGACGGAGCCUCUCAUCACUCCCAAUUCCUUGGAGAACGAAGUCAGGCACGUACGACGAGCAGUAACCAGCCAGCAAGGACCUCCCAAAGUUGGCAAUGUUGGGCUGAACCGCACUGACUUCAACUAAUUUUGAGCUAGAACAAAGAUUCCCCAAGAAGGCAUAUCCAGUUAACAGUAAACACAUUUCCCAGAAAAAAGAAAAAAAAACUGUGUACCCUGCCAGUUUAUAUUUCCAAUACAUUAUUUUCUACAAAACACAGACUAUCAAGCUUAAAUAAAAACUUGUGUAAGUGGUCAGA